ACAAGAUUUUUGACAAGGAAGGAAGACAUAUUCUGGCAAACUUAACAUUAAUGCCAGGAACAAGUCUAGAAUGGAUUUUCAUAGGUGAUUUGAGAGUACUUAAGGAAAAGACAUGAUCAUUUAGAGCCAGCCUAAGUUUACCAAAAACAGGUUAAGCCACACUAACUUUAUUUUUCAGAUAAGAUUAGCAUAUUCGUAGUCUGGAAAAUGCUAUACAAAGAAUGUAAAACAUGAAACUACUUGUGGACCAAAUGAAAAACUGUGGAGCAGAUUAUGAUGCAGUUAGACCUUGCUUGAAUGACUUCGACCCACAAAAGCAGAGUAAUUUAUCCCUACUUACAGAGAGAUUGCCCUACGUGUAACAGCUGCAUACAAAAAAGUUAUAAAAUUAUCAUUGGUUUAACAAGGAUAAAUGAAAAACAUUAAAAUUCUCCAACUGAACAAGGUGUGUCUGUUUCAUUGAUUGGCUGACUGUCAAAUCGGAAUCUGAUCUGCCCCAUUGACAAUGCCUUGGGCUUUUCCUCAGCCAUGGCAAAUGCCAGAGUCUUCUCAGCUGCCGCUUCACAAAAGAGGUACCAGCUUCUCACUGAACGAACACAGUGCAGCACCAGGAGUGACAGAAGAAGGAGGCGGCAGCGGUGGUUGAGGGACAGGGUGCGUGCACGUCCAAGUACAGUUCUUAAAAUGUUGAGGGCAUGCAACAUAUGCUCAAUAAAUACCUGAUUUUUAAAAAAGACAAUGAUUAUGGAAAACUCUUGAUCAUUAACCCGAAGGGAGAGUCUAGUUUCCAGGAAGCAUUUGUUUGUAUACACUAUUUAACCCAAGGAUACACUCUUUUCUCCGUGGCAGCGUGACUCAUCUUAGUCUCCAAUUUUUGACCUGGUGGAAGUGGAAAAGAAAUUGCCAAUGAUGCUGCAAAUAACUUCCUUCACCUUCUAACCUGGAGAUUCAUUGAAGGAAGAAAAAAGGUGACUGUCAGAGUCCCUGCUGGCCAUGCCUCUCAGCCACAGGACCACUGAGCCACUUAAUUCCUCCCCAGGGUCAGAUGUGCCCCAGCACCCAAUUGUUUAUGGAUACCCUAACCACCUUUUCACACUCCUU
Molecule: long non-coding RNA, 1101 nt
Filed under: Pan troglodytes (chimpanzee)
Lineage: Eukaryota; Metazoa; Chordata; Mammalia; Primates; Hominidae
Description: long non-coding RNA NONPTRT005030
Source: RNAcentral